GCAAGCCGAGCGGUAGAGUCCCUUCGGGGGCUUGAGAGCGGCGCACGGGUGCGGAACACGUGUGCAACCUGCCUUUAUCUGGGGGAUAGCCUUCCGAAAGGAAGAUUAAUACCCCAUAACAUAUUGAUUCGCAUGGAUUGAUAUUGAAAACCCCGGUGGAUAGAGAUGGGCACGCGCAGGAUUAGAUAGUUGGUGAGGUAACGGCUCACCAAGUCAGCGAUCCUUAGGGGGCCUGAGAGGGUGAUCCCCCACACUGGUACUGAGACACGGACCAGACUCCUACGGGAGGCAGCAGUGAGGAAUAUUGGACAAUGGGUGAGAGCCUGAUCCAGCCAUCCCGCGUGAAGGACGACGGCCCUAUGGGUUGUAAACUUCUUUUGUACAGGGAUAAACCUACCCUCGUGAGGGUAGCUGAAGGUACUGUACGAAUAAGCACCGGCUAACUCCGUGCCAGCAGCCGCGGUAAUACGGAGGGUGCAAGCGUUAUCCGGAUUUAUUGGGUUUAAAGGGUCCGUAGGCGGGCCUGUAAGUCAGUGGUGAAAUCUCGCAGCUCAACUGUGAAACUGCCAUUGAUACUGCAGGUCUUGAGUGUUGUUGAGGUAGCUGGAAUAAGUAGUGUAGCGGUGAAAUGCAUAGAUAUUACUUAGAACACCGAUUGCGAAGGCAGGUUACCAAGCAACAACUGACGCUGAUGGACGAAAGCGUGGGGAGCGAACAGGAUUAGAUACCCUGGUAGUCCACGCCGUAAACGAUGCUAACUCGUUUUUGGGGCGUAAGUCUCAGAGACCAAGCGAAAGUGAUAAGUUAGCCACCUGGGGAGUACGAACCCAAUUUUUAAACUCAAAGGAAUUGACGGGGGCCCGCACAACCGGUGGAUUAUGUGGUUUAAUUCCAUGAUACCCGAGGAACCUUACCAAGGCUUAAAUGGGAAAUGAC
RNAcentral lists this ribosomal RNA (936 nucleotides) under Chryseobacterium sp. AR. Its description in RNAcentral is "bacterial SSU rRNA". It matches the Rfam family "Bacterial small subunit ribosomal RNA", at positions 57 to 996 of the family's 1533-position model. The record is from RNAcentral. Lineage: Bacteria; Pseudomonadati; Bacteroidota; Flavobacteriia; Flavobacteriales; Weeksellaceae.